Molecule: unclassified non-coding RNA, 289 nt
Filed under: plant metagenome
Description: partial contains small subunit ribosomal RNA, internal transcribed spacer 1, and 5.8S ribosomal RNA
Rfam family: 5.8S ribosomal RNA (bases 241-289)
Source: RNAcentral
UUUCCGUAGGUGAACCUGCGGAAGGAUCAUUAAUGAGUUGUCAUGGGGUUCGAUGUUGGCAGCCAAUUUUUGGUUGCAUGUGCUUGCGCUAACAAUCGUCUUCCAAGCACCUGUGCACAUUUUUGAGUGAGUCUUGAGUUGGUUGCCGCUCUUGGGUGAUUUUCUCACAUUCCCUUAAAUCAUUAUACGCUAUUAACAAUGUUGAUCGUGCUCUGUGCCGCAAGGCUAUUAAUAUAAUACAACUUUUAACAACGGAUCUCUUGGCUCUCGCAUCGAUGAUGAACGCAGC